Molecule: unclassified non-coding RNA, 207 nt
Filed under: uncultured Luellia
Lineage: Eukaryota; Fungi; Basidiomycota; Agaricomycetes; Trechisporales; Hydnodontaceae
Description: sequence contains ITS2
Source: RNAcentral
AAUCAUCAAACCUAACCGGUCUUGUCGCCGGCGCGGUUUGGACCUGGGGGUUCUUUGCUGCCGCUCGCGGUGGCUCCCCUUAAAUGCAUCGGUCGGGCUUUCGUGCGGCUCCGUCCCUUGGCGUUGUAUUACCCUCGUCGCUGGAUGGCUCGCGAUUCUGUGCCCUUCCCUGACUUGCCUCUGGAGUGGCGGUCUUCAACAUUUGUG